RNAcentral lists this transfer RNA (69 nucleotides) under Cynops pyrrhogaster (Japanese firebelly newt). RNAcentral describes it as "tRNA-Glu". The record is from RNAcentral. Lineage: Eukaryota; Metazoa; Chordata; Amphibia; Caudata; Salamandridae.
UAUUUUACCUGGGCUCUAACCAAGACCCCCUGACCUGAAAAAUCAGUGUUGUAUUCAACCAUAAAAACA